GCUCAAUGAAUUUAAAUAGCCGCAAUUAUAUUUGUGCUAAGGUAGCAUAAUCAUUUGUCUUUUAAUUAAAGACUAGAACGAAAGAUUUAACAUUUUAACUUCUAUUUAAUAUAUUUCAUUUUUAAUUUAUCUUAAAUAUAAAAAGAUAUUUAUAAUUAAAAAAGACGACAAGACCCUAUCUGAACUUUACUUUAGUUAAACUGGGGUAGUUAAUUAAUUAUAAUUUUAAUUAAAAUAAUAAAUAAAAUGACCUAAUUAAAUUAAAUAAAUGAUCAAGUUACCAUAGGGAUAACAGCGUAAUAAUUUUCUUAAGAUCUUAUUCAAAAAAUAAUUUACGACCUCGAUGUUGAAUUAAUUUUCUAAUAAUUGCAACCAAUUAUUUAAGAAAGUCUGUUCGACUUUUUAUAAAUUACGUGAUCUGAGU
Molecule: ribosomal RNA, 424 nt
Filed under: Tamgrinia tibetana
Lineage: Eukaryota; Metazoa; Arthropoda; Arachnida; Araneae; Agelenidae
Description: partial 16S ribosomal RNA
Source: RNAcentral